RNAcentral lists this transfer RNA (72 nucleotides) under Ovis aries (sheep). It matches the Rfam family "tRNA". From Rfam's summary of the family: Transfer RNA (tRNA) molecules are approximately 80 nucleotides in length. Their secondary structure includes four short double-helical elements and three loops (D, anti-codon, and T loops). Further hydrogen bonds mediate the characteristic L-shaped molecular structure. tRNAs have two regions of fundamental functional importance: the anti-codon, which is responsible for specific mRNA codon recognition, and the 3' end, to which the tRNAs corresponding amino acid is attached (by aminoacyl-tRNA synthetases). tRNAs cope with the degeneracy of the genetic code in two manners: having more than one tRNA (with a specific anti-codon) for a particular amino acid; and 'wobble' base-pairing, i.e. permitting non-standard base-pairing at the 3rd anti-codon position. Lineage: Eukaryota; Metazoa; Chordata; Mammalia; Artiodactyla; Bovidae. The record is from Rfam by way of RNAcentral.
UCCCUGGUAGCUCAGAUGGUAAAGAGUCUGCCUACAAUGCAGGAGACCCAGGUUCAAUCCCUGGGUUGGGAA